AUUGAACGCUGGCGGAAUGCUUUACACAUGCAAGUCGAACGGCAGCACGGGGGCAACCCUGGUGGCGAGUGGCGAACGGGUGAGUAAUACAUCGGAACGUGCCCAGUCGUGGGGGAGUAACGUAGCGAAAGCUACGCUAAUACCGCAUACGAUCUACGGAUGAAAGCGGGGGAUCGCAAGACCUCGCGCGAUUGGAUGAGCCGACGUCGGAUUAGCUAGUUGGAGGGGUAAAGGCCCACCAAGGCGACGAUCCGUAGCUGGUCUGAGAGGAUGAUCAGCCACACUGGAACUGAGACACGGUCCAGACUCCUACGGGAGGCAGCAGUGGGGAAUAUUGGACAAUGGGCGCAAGCCUGAUCCAGCAAUGCCGCGUGUGUGAAGAAGGCCUUC
RNAcentral lists this ribosomal RNA (390 nucleotides) under uncultured bacterium. RNAcentral describes it as "bacterial SSU rRNA". It matches the Rfam family "Bacterial small subunit ribosomal RNA", at positions 29 to 419 of the family's 1533-position model. The record is from RNAcentral.